CACCCUGUCUGCAUCUGUAGGAGACAGAGUCACCAUCACUUGCCGGGCCAGUCAGAGUAUUAGUAGCUGGUUGGCCUGGUAUCAGCAGAAACCAGGGAAAGCCCCUAAGCUCCUGAUCUAUAAGGCGUCUAGUUUAGAAAGUGGGGUCCCAUCAAGGUUCAGCGGCAGUGGAUCUGGGACAGAAUUCACUCUCACCAUCAGCAGCCUGCAGCCUGAUGAUUUUGCAACUUAUUACUGCCAACAGUAU
Molecule: long non-coding RNA, 247 nt
Filed under: Homo sapiens (human)
Lineage: Eukaryota; Metazoa; Chordata; Mammalia; Primates; Hominidae
Description: non-protein coding lnc-EIF2AK3-4:76
Source: RNAcentral